Long non-coding RNA from Callithrix jacchus (white-tufted-ear marmoset), 2505 nucleotides. RefSeq lists it as uncharacterized. NCBI's taxonomy places the organism in Eukaryota, Metazoa, Chordata, Mammalia, Primates, Cebidae. The record is from RefSeq and is a predicted model, not a curated record.
UCCGCUGUGCAGAAAACAGAGAGAAGAUUGCCCUGUGUGGCACCUGUGAUUCCUCCACGGGCAUCUUUCUUUUUUUUUUUUUUUGAGACAGAGUUUCGCUCUUGUUACCCAGGCUGGAGUGCAAUGGCGCGAUCUCGGCUCACCGCAACCUCCGCCUCCUGAGUUCAGGCAAUUCUCCUGCCUCAGCCUCCCAAGUAGCUGGGAUGACAGACACUCGCCACCAUGCCCAGCUAAUUUUUUGUAUUUUUAGUAGAGACAGGGUUUUACCAUGUUGACCAGGAUGGUCUCCAUCUCUUGACCUCGUGAUCCACCUGCCUCAGCCUCCCAAAGGGCUGGGAUUACAGGCUUGAGCCACCACGCCCGGCUUGCAUCUUUCAAUCAGAAUUGACAUCUCCCACUUCUCAGCCCACUUGAGUCCUUAAAAACCUAGGCAGGUGUAUGUGUCACAAGACAGAUGCACGAGGAUCUGAGGCUCGGAUUGUGUGAGACCACCUGCCCUCUGUGGGAGAAGCACAGACUUUCUCAAGUGUGAACUGAGCAGCAGCAUUGGGUCAUGGACAGACACAGGACCGGGGGUCACAGCCCCUGGUGCUUCUCCUGGUUACUCCCUGACCAGCUGACUGCCUGGCUUCCCUUGGACUCCUCACCCGAAACAUUCAGGUGCUGGGUCUUUUCAAGCUUCAGUCCUACUUUGCACCCCCUAGCGGUGUUUUCUGUGUGGCUUCCUUUUCCAAGAACGUUCUAGUGAUGGGUGAUGAUGGGACUUCUUAUUGUCCUUAAAGCCCGAGGGAAAAACUGUGCAGCCUCCUGGGACUAGUUGUUUCAGCAGAAAUAGCACAGGGGACACCAGGGGCCAGCCUGGAGGUCAGUUCAGUCAUCAGGCAGUGGAACCACAAGUUUUUCCCAGGUAUUUAAUAAUGACUGACUUGAGCCAGUGACCCCUAAAGAUAGAGCAGAAUUCAAAGAAUGAUCUAGAAGAGAGUGAGGGGGACAGGCAGGAGCUGCCUGGAUUUAACAGCAGAGCCGUGUCCCUUGUCUUUGGCCUUUCAUGUUUCUUCUCCUUCUGCAGAGGGCAGGUGAGGAUGCUGUGGAUCUUUCUAGAAAUACAUGUGGACGUUUGCAAAUGCAGAACUGAGUGGUGGAAAGAGGGAGCAUGAACUGCUGGAAAUCUGACUCUCAAAGAUCCUGUGUGUUUGGCAGACCAGAAUCUCCCUCUCUGAGCUGUGGAUGUCCAAGACGAAAGGAAGCAAACCCACGACGGGUCUCGGUCUGCAGAUGCCUAAUAACAAACAGCCCCCCACCCCCGGGGGAGGAGAGGAGCUCUGGCUGCAGACAGACCUCACUUGUCUCUAAUCUGCCACCUAUGGCCUGUGGACCCUUGUUAGUGACUGUCUCCCUGCCCCUCAAUUUCCUUUCAGUAAGUAGGAUAAGUGCUAUUUGGCUGUGAGGUUGUUGGUGAAUUAACCUCAAAAUAUUUAUAAUUACUUGAUCUCAGCUCUGCACAGAGGAGUUGUCCAAGUGAAGAGCAUCUAUGAUUAUUUGCCUUUAAGAGAGAGGGCCCUGGGCCUGAUCCCUGGUGGACAAGGGGCUGCCGGGAGCAUCCUCUCUUCUCUGUUCCUCCUCCUGGGGACUCUGAACUUCCCAGGGAGUCACCUGUGUCCCCCAGGGCAGUGGGCUCACUCCCUAGUAACCUUGUCUGUCUGACCUUUCCACAUUGAGCCUCAAGUGACAGAAGAGGUCCUGUCCUUGACUGGACGAGGCUGUGGGUGCUGGGCCCCGGCUGGUGACCAACUCCAGGAGUCAUUUCCCUUGGACAGUCACUUCCUUGCUCCCAGUCAGCCCUGCCCAGGAGGCCACCACACAGCCCUGACACGGGCUCCCCAGAAUCACCUGGAAUCAGGAACUAGGGACAAGGCUUUGCACAGGGGCUCGGCUCUAGGAAGAGUAGAACUUCUCAGUGAGGAUCCCAGGGGGCCCUCAGGCCAGCCCUGACCCGGUUCUCCAGGGUCUUCUCAGGGUCAGGUCCAUGGGGAGACCAUGGGGUGCUUGGCUGAGACAGACCUCCCCCUGCUGAGUCCCCCAUCAGACUGUCCUUCCUCUGCUGCGAGUGUCUGCAGGAUCUGGAUGCAGGAAGGGGAUUCUGAUCUGUUGAAGUUCAUCUCCCCUGUGUGUGUCCUGCACUAAAUGCCCAAACCCUAACACGGGAUAUAAUGCAGAGGACACAGGGGGACACAGGCACAGCCCAGCCCUGACAAUCCCGUGUGUGGGGAGCACAACUGACCGCAACACCCGGAGGUCAUGGGGAAAUACUCACGGUAUACACGGAACUGGACAGUUGCUUCUUCACUCGUAAGAUCUGCCUUUAUGACUUGCAGGGUGUAGAAUCCUGUGUCAUUCAGGGUGACAUUCUGGAUCAGCAGGGAGGCAUUGGGGUAUAUUGUCUCUCGGCCGCUGUAUGUGGGCCCUGGGGUGGUUAGUUGACUUGCUAUUACAUAUCCUAUAAUU